GCCAGCCCGCUCAAGAAACUCAAAUGAAUUGACGGGGGCCCGCACAAGCGGAGGAGCAUGUGGUUUAAUUCGAUGAUACGCGAGGAACCUUACCUGGGCUCGAACGUAAGAUGACUGUAGGUGAAAGCUUACAUCUCUUCGGAGCAUUUUACGAGGUGCUGCAUGGUUGUCGUCAGCUCGUGCCGUGAGGUGUCGGGUUAAGUCCCAUAACGAGCGCAACCCUACCUUUAGUUGCCAUCAGGUUAAGCUGGGGACUCUAAAGGAACUGCCUACGCAAGUAGUGAGGAAGGCGGGGAUGACGUCAAAUCAGCACGGCCCUUACGUCCAGGGCUACACACGUGCUACAAUGGCCGAUACAGAGGGCAGCUACCUGGUGACAGGAUGCAAAUCUCCAAAGUCGGUCUCAGUUCGGAUCGGAGUCUGCAACCCGACUCCGUGAAGUUGGAUUCGCUAGUAAUCGCGCAUCAGCCAUGGCGCGGUGAAUACGUUCCCGGGCCUU
Molecule: ribosomal RNA, 499 nt
Filed under: uncultured Sphingobacteriales bacterium
Lineage: Bacteria; Pseudomonadati; Bacteroidota; Sphingobacteriia; Sphingobacteriales
Description: bacterial SSU rRNA
Rfam family: Bacterial small subunit ribosomal RNA
Source: RNAcentral